CUCAUCAUCUAUAGAGGUAAAUAAAUCAUUUUCAUUUAUACCUACCUAAGGAAAUGGCAACCCACUCCAGUGUUCUUGCCUGGAGAAUCCCAGGGACGGGGGAGCCUGGUGGGCUGCCGUCUAUGGGGUCGCACAGAGUCAGACACAACUGAAGUAACUUAGCAAACCAGAUGUGCACGCGUUCACAGAGCCUCAGGGGAUGGUGUGUAGCAUGGCAGGCCCUCUGCAGAGGCAUGGAGUCCGGUCCCCGGCAAACGCUCUUCCGUUUCCACCACUGGCGUUCAGCUCCCCCCAGAGAUGCCCAUAGGAGCCAAUCUGUAAACAGAGGAUCCCCCAGUGUUGAUCGUAGGCUGUGUUCACCCUCACCUCAACAGCAC
Molecule: long non-coding RNA, 377 nt
Filed under: Androctonus crassicauda
Lineage: Eukaryota; Metazoa; Arthropoda; Arachnida; Scorpiones; Buthidae
Source: RNAcentral